Molecule: non-coding RNA, 99 nt
Organism: Mycena epipterygia
Lineage: Eukaryota; Fungi; Basidiomycota; Agaricomycetes; Agaricales; Mycenaceae
Source: the annotation of a GenBank genome assembly
GUGCCGUUGGUGUAAGGGUAACAUACAAUCUGAUCUUUAUUCUGUGUACACGUCGAUACAUAUUGGGUUGGGUCCUGGGUUCGAAUCCCGGACGGCGCA